AUAUAUAUAUAUAUAUAUAUGUGUUAAUACAUGCAUUAUCUUUUUCCUGCCUUAUAAGUUGUUUUGUUGCUAAGAAUUUUUCUUUGUGUGUUUUUUUUUUUUUUUUUUUAUGUGCAACAAAUGCAUAGAUAUUAUUGAUUUUGCCAGCCACCUAGAACAAAACACAGGCACCCCCCUUCAGCUAUCCUGUACAUUUUUUCCAGUCUAAAGUGUUUUUAAAGGAAAUGUAGUAAUAUGAAUUUUUAUUUUAAAAAGAAACUGUAGUUAUAUGAAAUCUUAUUUUAAUUGUCCAUCCUAAACUAUUAAUCUUCAUCAUCAUGUCACUGGUAUAGUUCCGUUGCUCCGUUCACACAGAAAACAUAAAGGUGCCAUACACUGUGCUGUUUAAAAGAUAUGCUAUGAUCUUUAAAGAAAGGACAAUACACUAAUUAUGUGUCUUGUCGUUAUUUCAUUCUACUUUUUAGUACAUUAGCUAUCUUUAUUUAAAAUUGAAAAACACCCUUUAAAUGGGAAAUUAUUAUGGGGAUAGAUAAUAGCAUUUGAUGACCACAUUCAUAAUGUUGCAAGAGGUUUUGCUCUUACAGGAAUUAUAAUUUCAUAAUUGUUCAUUGUGGAUACUGGUUUUCCCCUGAGUGACUGGGAUGUUUCUCGCAACCAGUCUAGGCUGAACACUAGUCUCCUUGCUUGCAUUCCACCUAUACAAGUAUUGAACCAAAAAUUUAAAUAGUUUCCCAUAGAUGAUUUGGUUCAUUCAUGGACAUGACUUAGAGCUGUACAAUGACUUCCAUAUGAUUGGUGUUUCAUCGCAUUGUGCAGAUCUAAUAAGUCCCUGUUUUUAUUAACAUGGUAAUUUAGGGUGGAAAGACUUAAAUAUGAUAUUGGAUCCAAGAGCCACUACACCAUUACAAUAUAGGGUUGUUAGUGAAUGCUUGAGGAUUGUUAGUUUAUUAAUUAAUAGCCUCUGCUGUCCUGGACUUAUGUAUAUCUAGAUUCUGAGCAUUACAGGAAAUAUUUUACAGAUGAUAUCCUCUCACAACAAAGUAGGGGUAGUUAAUUUAUUGAAAACAUGACCUGCUCUAUGUAAUAAUAGGUAACUCAUGUAAUGUGCAUACAGUGUACCAUACACCCAAAAAUUCAGAGACUCAAGUGACAGAGCUGAUUUAAUUCUUCUUGGAAGGCUUGCUAUAAAUACAAUAACAACUCCAACUGACCAGUAGUGGUUAUGGAGCAAAGGU
Long non-coding RNA from Pelobates fuscus (common spadefoot toad), 1235 nucleotides. RefSeq lists it as uncharacterized. Lineage: Eukaryota; Metazoa; Chordata; Amphibia; Anura; Pelobatidae. The record is from RefSeq and is a predicted model, not a curated record. The transcript is spliced from 2 exons.